GGGGUUGUAGCCUAGUGGUUAGAGCGUCUGACUCACGACUUGAAGGUCGGGGGUUCGAUUCCUGAUCCCA
Macrostomum lignano is the source of this 70-nucleotide non-coding RNA. The record is from Rfam. NCBI's taxonomy places the organism in Eukaryota, Metazoa, Platyhelminthes, Macrostomidae.